RNAcentral lists this long non-coding RNA (2435 nucleotides) under Olea europaea subsp. europaea. Lineage: Eukaryota; Viridiplantae; Streptophyta; Magnoliopsida; Lamiales; Oleaceae. The record is from RNAcentral.
AGACAGUUUUCUGAAAAUGGGGCUCAGCACUAAAUAACAAAUUUAAUCAUACCGCUUCAAAACUAAAAUAUUAAAAAACUAAAAUCCGAGUAACUCUUGGAGACCUCACAAUCAUUCUCAAACGCCAAAAGUAAAUCCCAGCAAUAAAACAGCGGAAACACAGCGAGAAAAUAAAUAUCAAAGUAAGCUCGCCGGUUCGUCUUGAGAAGCCGCGAAUGACAAAAGUGAAUGUUCUCGAAAAUUCUGUCCCCGUAAUGGAACCAGGUUAAGGCCAAGCCCUCUGGACUACAAUAGAUAUUUUCUAGUAAUUGUCCAGUCUGUGCAGAGCUUCAAACCCUAGUGAUGAAUGCGGAGACAAACAGGGCACCAAUGUGGAAGGAGAAUAAGCUCUCUCAAGGCUACAGUAGAUAUUCUGAUGCUCGUUGUAGAUAUUUAUUAGGAGACCGAGAGGUUUGGAUUGCGUUAGGGCAAAGAAUGCUAUUGGUUGUCAUGUUUUUCGAAUAUGUAGAAUUGGUUAGGUAUCAAAUUUUGAAGGUUACGUGUCAAUAUUCUAUUUGUCAACUAAUUUUUAAUUUAUGAAAAAAAAUUUCUUUUCGAUGGAAUUUGAAAUUGUUAUUGGGGCAUUUUCGUCAAAAUUUUAACAAAAUAGACAUUGAAUAAGUUUGGGAUACUUUUUGCAAAUGACUGUGAAAGUGGAAAGUUUAUGUAAUUUCCAUUUGUUUUUUCAAAUAAUAGGCUAUCAAAUAGGGACCAAGUCAAGAAAGGUAAAUGUUCAGAACACAAAGAAUAGUUGUAGAGAAAAUUUCAAUCUUAAGUCACUCGUCAACUCCAAAGUGUCAUGAAUGCAAUGAAAAUGAAAAAUAUAAAAUGAGCUCGAAGGAGACACACAUUAAACUCGAUUGGACAAACAGAUAGCUUAGUUUGGAAAUUUACUUGUUUCUGUGGACGCUGUAUGCCAAAAGGUACGUUGGAGUGAUUGUUGGGCUCAACUAUGGCAUCUGAAUGAUGUCAGUUCAUUACCCUGGGUGCAUAACAGUUAUUUGAAUGAGAUUGUGUCACUGUUAGAAAAGAUGGGAGGUGCUACACGGAACAAUAUUUAUUCAGCUUUAAGCAAUUGUGCUCUUCAAGAAUUAAGCUUAUGUGGACUUAUCUUCACAUAUAACAAUGAAGACGAGACUCAGAUAUCUAGUAGAGAAUAGAUUGGUUUGUUUGUGAUUAGACUUGGCAAAUUCUUUUCCAACAGGCAGUAGUUCAACAUUAGGAUUUUAUGAAGUUAGAUCACAGGCCACUAAUUCCAGAUGAAUGGGACUCAAGAACAAAAAAAUUGGUCACCCCUUCAGAUUUGAGCCAUUUAUCUUCGGGAAGAAGGGUAAGUGAAGGUGGUGGAAAGGUACAGCCAGUUGGAGUUGGAAAGUGAACGGGGAGCUGAUAACGGUGUCCAGAAUGCACUUUCUGCUCGUGGGGAUGUGUUAUCUUCUUGGAAUGCACAAAAAAUUGGGAAGAUAAAUUGUGGAAUGAGAGAGUUCUCCUUACCUAGUUGUAUGAUUAUUCAAAUAGUUCUAAUCAUGUGAGUGAAAUUAAGAGCUUAACGAGGUCCAUUUCAACGUGGAAUAUAUCGUUAAAUAUUCAAUAUGAUUCCACCAGAUCUAAUUUCGUUCAAGCAAUGGAUUCUAGUGAACUAAAACGAUCUUCUGAUCAAUCCAAAGCUCAUUUGGAUUUAUUCAUUGAACGUCACUAUUAUAACAUGACUUUUCAUAGGCAAUGGAAUUUGGAAGUUGUUAAGCAAGGGUGGAAGAGCCAUCUAAUGGACAUGAAUAUCACUCGGUUAACAAAAGGGAUGUAUGAACCUACUACAUGCAAUGACUAGUAAUCUCUUGACAUGGAAUAACUAAAAAGCUUGCUGUGAUCGAGAUCUUUGGGGAGAUUCCAUACUUCAAUUCAGUGGAAAGAGAGCCUUUGCUUACUUGCUUAACCAUGUCCUCCUAUCAUACCUAUAUCCCUCUUGUUGGGGUAAUAACGCGUGGGUCGACUUUGACUAACAAAUAAUGAAAUUGAGAAAAUGAAGUUAAAAAUGGACAUAAGUAUUUACGUGUUUCACCCAAUUUUGACUAUGUCCACGAGCAAGUAUAAGAGGAUUUUACUAUAGUAGGAGAAUUACAACAACUCUCUAAAUACAAGGAGAUACCAACAAUUAAUCUCUCUUGUAAUAGAAAAAAAAAACAAGUAGGAAAUACUUUAGGAAGAAACAAUAAUUUUUCUCUCUAUUUUUAUCUCUCUACUCACAAUUUUCUCUCCACUCAAUCUUUUCCUUUCUCUCAAUUUUUUUCCUCUCCAACACGGCUUAUUUCACUUGGCAUGUUAGUUCUCUAUUUAUAGAGAAAUUUGGCUUCAAACUGUCUCACUUUGUUUGGCUCAAAACCUGCCAUCAAGGUGCU